This 411-nucleotide long non-coding RNA is filed under the name Homo sapiens (human). RNAcentral describes it as "HSALNT0269273". Lineage: Eukaryota; Metazoa; Chordata; Mammalia; Primates; Hominidae. The record is from RNAcentral.
GAGAAGGGUGCUUCACCUCUGGAGUCUUCUUCCAAUACACUAUAGCCCCAAUCUAAUCAUGAGUAAAGCAUCACAUGAAUCCCCAUUGAGGGGAUAUUCUUAAAAAGUACUUGACUAGUAAACCUCAAACAUUUCAGAGUUAUCAAAAGCAAGGAAAGUUUGAGAAGCUUUCACAGCCAAGAAGAGCCUGAAGAGACAUGAUAAACAAAUAAAAUGGUGAAUCCUGGAUGCAGCCCUGGAAAAACAACAAAGCGACCUCAGGUUAUGUCUUCUUUUAUAAGACUACCCACUGCCUCUUCUCAAGUAUAUCUGAAGUAUGGCUGGUUGGAGUAUAUCAGGACCCUCAGAGGAGAAAAGCAUAUAAAACCAGCACACCUGAACCCAGGAACAUGGACAGGACUCUGGAGUGUG